UCGAUGCUGAUUACGAAUUAGUAUUCGAUAUGGCCUCUAAAUGGCAUUUCUACACGAUUUCUACAUUGCUGCAUUGGACAAGAGGAUCGGAGCAUAUCUGAAGUAAGAAAUUCCGUGGAUCAUCAGAAGAUAAGGAAUCAAGGAGCAAAUUAAGCUGAGCGUUUGAAAACAGGCAAUUAGGAACCCAGCAAGUGCAGCGAAUAUCAUCUUCGUGAUCUUGUAUCCUGGGUCGGCCAUGUGGUCGAAUACGGGUGCAGCCCGUGUGCAGCGAGAGAUCAACACGGCUAUGCACUUGAG
Long non-coding RNA from Drosophila persimilis, 297 nucleotides. RefSeq lists it as uncharacterized. Lineage: Eukaryota; Metazoa; Arthropoda; Insecta; Diptera; Drosophilidae. The transcript has 4 exons. The record is from RefSeq and is a predicted model, not a curated record.